GACGAACGUUGGCGGCGUGCUUAAUACAUGCAAGUCAACUGAAGCAGUGGUAGCAAUCUCGCUGUGGAGGUGGCGCACGGGUGAGUAACACGUAGGUAAUCUGCCUUCAGGUCUGGCAUAACUCCGGGAAACCGGGGCUAAUAGCAGAUGAUGCAGCGGCUCGACAUCGAGACAGUUGUUAAAGCUAUGGCGCCUGAAGAUGAGCCUGCGUCUGAUUAGCUAGUUGGCGGGGUAACGGCCCACCAAGGCAACGAUCAGUAGCUGGUCUGAGAGGAUGAUCAGCCACACUGGAACUGAGACACGGUCCAGACUCCUACGGGAGGCAGCAGUAAGGAAUAUUGCUCAAUGGGAGAAAUCCUGAAGCAGCAACGCCGCGUGAGGGACGAAGGGCUUUUGCUUGUAAACCUCUGUAGUGAGAGAAGAAAAUCCCAAUCUUUGGGACAUGAUGGUAUCUCAAAAGUAAGCCCCGGCUAACUACGUG
RNAcentral lists this ribosomal RNA (481 nucleotides) under uncultured bacterium. Its description in RNAcentral is "partial 16S ribosomal RNA". It matches the Rfam family "Bacterial small subunit ribosomal RNA", at positions 28 to 507 of the family's 1533-position model. The record is from RNAcentral.